Molecule: ribosomal RNA, 376 nt
Filed under: Planctomycetota bacterium
Lineage: Bacteria; Pseudomonadati; Planctomycetota
Description: bacterial SSU rRNA
Rfam family: Bacterial small subunit ribosomal RNA
Source: RNAcentral
AAAGUGAAGGGUUUGAUCCUGGCUCAGAGUGAACGCUAGCGGCGUGGAUUAGGCAUGCAAGUCGAGCGCGAAAGUCUCCUUCGGGAGGCGAGUAGAGCGGCAAAAGGGUGAGUAAUACAUGGCUAACUUGCCCCUGGAACUGGAAUAACCACGGGAAACUGUGGCUAAUGCCGGAUAGCCUCGAGGAGCCUCAUGGUUCCUCGAGUAAAGGUUGGGAUCCUUCGGGACCAUCCGUCCAGGGAGAGGGUCAUGGGCUAUCAGCUAGUUGGCGGGGUAACAGCCCACCAAGGCUACGACGGCUAGGCGGUCUGAGAGGAUGGCCGCCCACAUCGGGACUGAGACACUGCCCGGACUCCUACGGGAGGCUGCAGUCGAG